CUCCUACGGGAGGCAGCAGUAGGGAAUCUUCGGCAAUGGACGAAAGUCUGACCGAGCAACGCCGCGUGAAUGAAGAAGGCUUUCGGGUCGUAAAAUUCUGUUAUAAGGGAAGAAAAGUUAGAGUAGGAAAUGGCUCUAAAGUGACGGUACCUUAUGAGAAAGCCACGGCUAACUACGUGCCAGCAGCCGCGGUAAUACGUAGGUGGCAAGCGUUAUCCGGAAUUAUUGGGCGUAAAGAGCGCGCAGGUGGUUGAUUAAGUCUGAUGUGAAAGCCCACGGCUUAACCGUGGAGGGUCAUUGGAAACUGGUCAACUUGAGUGCAGAAGAGGGAAGUGGAAUUCCAUGUGUAGCGGUGAAAUGCGUAGAGAUAUGGAGGAACACCAGUGGCGAAGGCGGCUUCCUGGUCUGUAACUGACACUGAGGCGCGAAAGCGUGGGGAGCAAACAGGAUUAGAUACCCUGGUAGUCCACGCUGUAAACGAUGUCGACUUGGAGGUUGUGCCCUUGAGGCGUGGCUUCCGGAGCUAACGCGUUAAGUCGACCGCCUGGGGAGUACGGCCGCAAGGUUAAAACUCAAAUGAAUUGACGGGGGCCCGCACAAGCGGUGGAGCAUGUGGUUUAAUUCGAUGCAACGCGAAGAACCUUACCUACUCUUGACAUCCAGAGAAUUCGCUAGAGAUAGCUUAGUGCCUUCGGGAACUCUGAGACAGGUGCUGCAUGGCUGUCGUCAGCUCGUGUUGUGAAAUGUUGGGUUAAGUCCCGCAACGAGCGCAACCCUUAUCCUUUGUUGCCAGCGCGUAAUGGUGGGAACUCAAAGGAGACUGCCGGUGAUAAACCGGAGGAAGGUGGGGAUGACGUCAAGUCAUCAUGGCCCUUACGAGUAGGGCUACACACGUGCUACAAUGGCGUAUACAAAGAGAAGCGAACUCGCGAGAGCAAGCGGACCUCAUAAAGUACGUCGUAGUCCGGAUCGGAGUCUGCAACUCGACUCCGUGAAGUCGGAAUCGCUAGUAAUCGUAGAUCAGAAUGCUACGGUGAAUACGUUCCCGGGCCUUGUACACACCGCCCGU
RNAcentral lists this ribosomal RNA (1069 nucleotides) under uncultured Enterobacteriaceae bacterium. RNAcentral describes it as "bacterial SSU rRNA". It matches the Rfam family "Bacterial small subunit ribosomal RNA", at positions 336 to 1397 of the family's 1533-position model. The record is from RNAcentral. Lineage: Bacteria; Pseudomonadati; Pseudomonadota; Gammaproteobacteria; Enterobacterales; Enterobacteriaceae.